CUUGGGUCACGUACCAGUAUCUAACAUUUAUGAAGUGCUUAUCAGACACUGUUUCAAGCUCUGCAGAUGUCAAAGGACCCCAUGACGUAAGUAUUAUUAUUCCCUUUGACAGUUGAAGAGAUGAAGGCCCAGAGGCAUGAACUCCCACAGCCAGAGGAUAUGAGCGGAUUCUACCUGAGGAGUCUGGAGACCAUGAAUGCCGUGUGUGUCUGCUAAUUUAAAGCCUGGGCCCAGAGGAAAAUGUCUUUGCAUCUUGAAAGAUCUGGACUCCUUCUGCCUUCUGAGCAUCUGUGAGCUGGAGAUACUAAUAGGGCCUUCCCCAUAGAGAUGUUCUGAAGAUCAAAUGAGAGACCUCAUGGAAAGCUGUUAGCACAGAGCUGAGUAAGUAAGCAUUGUCAUUAGUUAUUAUUAUCCUAUUUUAUAGGCUAC
This 429-nucleotide long non-coding RNA is filed under the name Cercocebus atys (sooty mangabey). Its description in RNAcentral is "lncRNA (ENSCATG00000045803.1)". The record is from RNAcentral. Lineage: Eukaryota; Metazoa; Chordata; Mammalia; Primates; Cercopithecidae.